GACGAACGCUGGCGGCGUGCUUAACACAUGCAAGUCGAACGAAGAGCGAUGGAAGCUUGCUUCUAUCAAUCUUAGUGGCGAACGGGUGAGUAACGCGUAAUCAACCUGCCCUUCAGAGGGGGACAACAGUUGGAAACGACUGCUAAUACCGCAUACGAUCCAAUCUCGGCAUCGGGACUGGAUGAAAGGUGGCCUCUAUUUAUAAGCUAUCACUGAAGGAGGGGAUUGCGUCUGAUUAGCUAGUUGGAGGGGUAACGGCCCACCAAGGCGAUGAUCAGUAGCCGGUCUGAGAGGAUGAACGGCCACAUUGGGACUGAGACACGGCCCAGACUCCUACGGGAGGCAGCAGUGGGGAAUCUUCCGCAAUGGACGAAAGGCGGACGGAGCAACGCCGCGUGAGUGAUGACGGCCUUCGGGUUGUAAAGCUCUGUUAAUCGGGACGAAUGGUUCUUGUGCGAAUAGUGCGAGGAUUUGACGGUACCGGAAUAGAAAGCCACGGCUAACUACGUG
This 510-nucleotide ribosomal RNA is filed under the name uncultured bacterium. RNAcentral's name for it is "partial 16S ribosomal RNA". It matches the Rfam family "Bacterial small subunit ribosomal RNA", at positions 28 to 507 of the family's 1533-position model. The record is from RNAcentral.